This is a non-coding RNA of Bos taurus (domestic cattle), 74 nucleotides long. The record is from Rfam. NCBI's taxonomy places the organism in Eukaryota, Metazoa, Chordata, Mammalia, Artiodactyla, Bovidae.
UCCCUGGUGGCUCAGAAGGUAAAAGAAUCUGCCUGCAAUGCAGGAGACCCAGGUUCAAUCCCCAGGUUGGGGAG